Long non-coding RNA from Lycium barbarum (goji berry), 1333 nucleotides. RefSeq lists it as uncharacterized. The record is from RefSeq and is a predicted model, not a curated record. The transcript is spliced from 3 exons. NCBI's taxonomy places the organism in Eukaryota, Viridiplantae, Streptophyta, Magnoliopsida, Solanales, Solanaceae.
UCUUGAAAUUGAGCGACAAAAGGCCCACUCCUACUUUAGCUGUAAAAAAUAAAGAAAUAUAAAGACAUACUAAAACUAUUAAAUUAAAACGCUGCACUCUCAAAAUAUGUUCUCUUUAUUAGAAGUCAUAAAACCCUAAAUCCCCAAAUCUCAUAAUCUUGCACAGAAAUAUGUCCCAUUUGUGGUAUAGAUUUGAAAACUCAUCAUUAGCAGCCCGAUCCAUGCCGGGUUUUUUCGGCAAUCGAAACCUUACUCGGCGCCUUCUCAUCGUUGGGUGCUCAUCAUCACAAGUUGAGCUUAAACUCUGGAGGGUUAACGAUUUGUUGCUCUGAAUCGAAAUACUAUUACUAAAAUUCAUCCUCUUGUCAAAUGUGGGGUCUCAGAGCUCCACAACCUUCGAGUAUUUUACUUCAUGCAACGGAACACACUCAACUUCUUGCGGCUCAAUACACAUAGCUCCUUGCGGUUUUCCCCUUAUAUUUCAGAUUGUGUUCCAGAGACAUCUUCCAGACCUCACCUCUAGUGUGAGGCCAGUUCCCGAUCAAAUCCAAGGGUGAGCUCCUAUCCAUGCCAUGCCGCCUGAAGAUCUCUCUUGUUGAUGUCUAUUUUCAUUCCAGACAUUGUUUGCGUUUAUAGAUGUCACGACCCAAACUAAAGGGCCACGACGGGCACCUGACCGUACUAGUCAAGUACCAUCUGACAUACAUCUGUGAUGACAACAUAAACAUAGGUGGGCCGAUUGGGCCAUCAUAUAACUCUCAACAAACUCAUAAGAAACAUGUAUGUAUCAACUGUUCUGAAAGACUCAUCUGUGAAAAUAUUGAACAUAUUGUUUGAGCCGGUAAGGCUAGCAUAACCAACUGGGAUGACCUAUGAAAUCUCAAGUCUGGACAUCAUCUGACUGUAUAUAACUGUCUACAUGCCUCUACUGGAUAACAUAACACAACGUGGCUGGGACAAGGCCCCGCCAUAGCCAUACGUAUGUGCGUACAUAUCUAUAUAUACGUAAGACCAUCCUGACUCCUGGCAUUUUCGGAACAAAUGGAGUGCACCAACUUCAUCCGCUGAGCUGACAUCCUAAUAGAUGGAUCACCAACUUCUGUCUGCAGACCUGCGGGCAUGAAACGCAAACCCCCAAGCAAUAGGGGAGUCAAUAUGAAUAUUGUACUGAGUAUGUAAGACAUGAAAAUAGCAUAUACACAAGAAUCAUAAAAAGAAUCUAUGACAUGAGAGUCAAUCUAUAAAUCUGAAUGUAUCUGUAUAACUGUAUAUCUGAAGUGGCUGUAUAACUCUAUAUAACUGAAAGUGCCUCUGAGGGCGUAUAAUAUGCAUG